This 254-nucleotide ribosomal RNA is filed under the name uncultured bacterium. Its description in RNAcentral is "partial 16S ribosomal RNA". It matches the Rfam family "Bacterial small subunit ribosomal RNA", at positions 524 to 776 of the family's 1533-position model. The record is from RNAcentral.
GACGAACCGUGCGAACGUUAUUCGGAAUCACUGGGCUUAAAGCGUGUGUAGGCGGAUCGUUAAGUGCCUUGUGAAAUCCCACGGCUCAACCGUGGAACUGCUUGGCAUACUGGCGAUCUUGAGCCACUUAGGGGCUACCGGAACAAAUGGUGGAGCGGUGAAAUGCGUAGAUAUCUGGAGGAACACCGGUGGCGAAGGCGGCAUCCUGGACCAACACUGGCGCUGAGUGAGCGAAAGCCAGGGGAGCAAACGGG